CAUGUGUGUUGGUCUCACGCCUAUGUGAGAGGUUUGAUAAUUUAUUUGAUAAUUUACUUGAAAUCCAUAACAUUUUCAUACCCUUCCCGCACUAAUAAUUCCUCUACUAAUAAUUCUAUCUAACCUAAUCAGACAAACAAACUGGUAAUGUCAUGUUUUGGCAAUGAAAAUUUUUUGUUACUUGCCAUUUUUUAAAGAUUUUUUGGCUGAGUUUUCAGAAUUACUUUCUAAAACAAAUUCAAAAAAUUAUUUGAUAAAAUAAACACUAAAAAAAUUUCAAUAUUAGAGCCCAUCUGAAAUCGCAUCUACGGUUUCCCGAAUCCUAACCUCCCGUUGCCGUACCAAGCCUGGAGAAACCAUUGGAGAACAUCUGAAAUCACAUCUACGGUUCAAUAUUACACGACGGUUCUUUACUACUUCUACGACAAAACAUCUCGAAAUCACCAUAUACAGUUCAAAUUUAAGGUGCAGGAAGCAUGCCACCUCCAAGGACAUAGCUGGGAGGCUAGAGGCGGACAU
Molecule: non-coding RNA, 519 nt
Organism: Camellia sinensis
Lineage: Eukaryota; Viridiplantae; Streptophyta; Magnoliopsida; Ericales; Theaceae
Source: RefSeq, a predicted model, not a curated record